ACUACCUAGUGGCAAUGCAAAUAUGGCUGCUGUGUCACAUCCGAGUCAGUAGGUGGCAGAAUGGAGAGAGGCUAUGUCUAUGCUCAGUGUUCUGACUUUUAUGAACAUCUGAAUUAUUAAUAGCCUAACAUU
Molecule: small nucleolar RNA, 132 nt
Organism: Rattus norvegicus (Norway rat)
Lineage: Eukaryota; Metazoa; Chordata; Mammalia; Rodentia; Muridae
Product: small nucleolar RNA SNORA17
Source: Ensembl